GGGGUUGUGGCUCAGCGGUAGAUUACUCGCCUAGGGCGUGUGAGUCCCUGGGUUCGAUCUGCAGCACCACA
RNAcentral lists this transfer RNA (71 nucleotides) under Marmota monax (woodchuck). RNAcentral describes it as "tRNA.Pro". The record is from RNAcentral. Lineage: Eukaryota; Metazoa; Chordata; Mammalia; Rodentia; Sciuridae.